AACGCGAAGAACCUUACCAAGGCUUGACAUAUGCCGGAAACACCUGGAGACAGGUGCCCCCUUGUGGUCGGUAUACAGGUGGUGCAUGGUUGUCGUCAGCUCGUGUCGUGAGAUGUUGGGUUAAGUCCCGCAACGAGCGCAACCCUUGUUCUGUGUUGCCAGCAUGCCUUUCGGGGUGAUGGGGACUCACAGGAGACUGCCGGGGUCAACUCGGAGGAAGGUGGGGACGACGUCAAAUCAUCAUGCCCCUUAUGUCUUGGGCUGCACACGUGCUACAAUGGUCGGUACAAAGGGCUGCGAUGCCGCGAGGCGGAGCGAAUCCCAAAAAGCCGGCCUCAGUUCGGAUUGGGGUCUGCAACUCGACCCCAUGAAGUUGGAGUUGCUAGUAAUCGCAGAUCAGCAUGCUGCGGUGAAUACGUUCCCGGGCCUUGUACACACCG
RNAcentral lists this ribosomal RNA (440 nucleotides) under uncultured bacterium. RNAcentral describes it as "bacterial SSU rRNA". It matches the Rfam family "Bacterial small subunit ribosomal RNA", at positions 958 to 1392 of the family's 1533-position model. The record is from RNAcentral.